CAGGGUACUCCCAGAAAACACAAUGCCUACUGGACAUAAUCAUAGUAUCAAAAGUUGCCAACCACAUAAUGAAGUAAACGUCCAUGAAAGAGUCAAUAGAUGCAACAAAGUUCUUAGAAGAACCAAGAGGAUGAAGAGGAAGAGAGGAAGAGCACAGUGCAGGCAGAACAUUGUGCCCUCCAGUCACAUUUGUUAUACUUUUCGUCCUACAACAAACCCUUUGGAAUACAGAGUGUGUUGAAUUGAAUCUCCAUUUGGAUUUCUUCCAGAGUUAUUGCUUUGAGAAGAACACAUGAAAUGACAAAAUUGGCAGGCACUGGUUUAACUCCAUGUCUAACUCUGUUGUUUUC
This is a long non-coding RNA of Bos taurus (domestic cattle), 350 nucleotides long. NCBI's taxonomy places the organism in Eukaryota, Metazoa, Chordata, Mammalia, Artiodactyla, Bovidae. The record is from Ensembl.